RNAcentral lists this ribosomal RNA (767 nucleotides) under Salmonella enterica subsp. enterica serovar Senftenberg. RNAcentral describes it as "partial 23S ribosomal RNA". It matches the Rfam family "Bacterial large subunit ribosomal RNA", at positions 2164 to 2925 of the family's 2925-position model. RNAcentral also lists the same sequence under 3 other names. The record is from RNAcentral. Lineage: Bacteria; Pseudomonadati; Pseudomonadota; Gammaproteobacteria; Enterobacterales; Enterobacteriaceae.
GUGGACGCCAGUCUGCGUGGAGCCAACCUUGAAAUACCACCCUUUAAUGUUUGAUGUUCUAACGUGGACCCGUAAUCCGGGUUGCGGACAGUGUCUGGUGGGUAGUUUGACUGGGGCGGUCUCCUCCUAAAGAGUAACGGAGGAGCACGAAGGUUGGCUAAUCCUGGUCGGACAUCAGGAGGUUAGUGCAAUGGCAUAAGCCAGCUUGACUGCGAGCGUGACGGCGCGAGCAGGUGCGAAAGCAGGUCAUAGUGAUCCGGUGGUUCUGAAUGGAAGGGCCAUCGCUCAACGGAUAAAAGGUACUCCGGGGAUAACAGGCUGAUACCGCCCAAGAGUUCAUAUCGACGGCGGUGUUUGGCACCUCGAUGUCGGCUCAUCACAUCCUGGGGCUGAAGUAGGUCCCAAGGGUAUGGCUGUUCGCCAUUUAAAGUGGUACGCGAGCUGGGUUUAGAACGUCGUGAGACAGUUCGGUCCCUAUCUGCCGUGGGCGCUGGAGAACUGAGGGGGGCUGCUCCUAGUACGAGAGGACCGGAGUGGACGCAUCACUGGUGUUCGGGUUGUCAUGCCAAUGGCACUGCCCGGUAGCUAAAUGCGGAAGAGAUAAGUGCUGAAAGCAUCUAAGCACGAAACUUGCCCCGAGAUGAGUUCUCCCUGAGACUUAGAGUCUCCUGAAGGAACGUUGAAGACGACGACGUUGAUAGGCCGGGUGUGUAAGCGCAGCGAUGCGUUGAGCUAACCGGUACUAAUGAACCGUGAGGCUUAACCUU